This 497-nucleotide ribosomal RNA is filed under the name uncultured bacterium. Its description in RNAcentral is "partial 16S ribosomal RNA". It matches the Rfam family "Bacterial small subunit ribosomal RNA", at positions 28 to 507 of the family's 1533-position model. The record is from RNAcentral.
GAUGAACGCUGGCGGCGUGCCUAAUACAUGCAAGUCGAGCGCACAAGCUUGGUGCUUGUACCUAUUGCGUGAGCAGCGAACGGGUGAGUAACGCGUGGGGAAUCUGCCUAUGAGAGGGGGAUAACAUCUGGAAACGAAUGCUAAUACCGCAUAAAAACUUUAACCACAUGUUUUAAGUUUGAAAGAUGCCAUUGCUUUACUCAAUGAUGGUACCUCGUUGUAUUUGCUGAGUGGUUAGGUAAACGCUCACCCAAGCGAUGGUUACUUACCGACCUUAGAGGGUGGUUGGCCAAAAUGGGAAUGAGGCACGGCCCAAACUCCUACGGGAAGCAGCAGUAGGGAAACGUCGGCAAUUGACGAAAGUCUUGCCGGGCAACGCCGCGUGAGUGGAGAAGGUUUUCGGGUCGGAAAACUCUGGUGAUAAGGGAGAACGUAGGGUGUAGUUAAAAGCUCAUCAAUUGACGGUAACUACUCAGAAAGCGACGGCUAACUACGUG